This 379-nucleotide transfer-messenger RNA is filed under the name Planctomycetota bacterium. RNAcentral describes it as "Planctomycetes bacterium (microbial mat metagenome) transfer-messenger RNA". It matches the Rfam family "transfer-messenger RNA". Rfam says of the family: Bacterial tmRNA, also known as 10Sa RNA or SsrA, is named for its dual tRNA and mRNA-like properties. Its role is to liberate the mRNA from a stalled ribosome. The record is from RNAcentral. Lineage: Bacteria; Pseudomonadati; Planctomycetota.
GGGGCCGACUGGUAUCGACCGGACAGGGAAGGCCGGUGGUCGCGUGUCCAGGUGCGGGCAGGCCUGGUAAAACCGCUCGCAAACUCAUAAAUGCCAACGAUAACAUCGCUGGUCGGAUCGGCUUCGCGCCGGCCCGCCUGGCUGCCUAAAGUGCAGCCAAGUCUCUCAUCCGUUGCCCUCGCCGGGUGAGAGGCUCACAACCAGAGGGCUCGUCCAACGACGGCGUCAAAGCGUCCGCGGAUUAAACCUCACUUUGACUGGACCCCCGGAAGUGUGUCGCUUCACGGCCGGGGGUCGAGAUUAAACAAACGACUACACACGUAGAAGCCGCCGCGCUGACUGUCACGGGACGGGGGUUCAAUUCCCCCCGGCUCCAUUC